Molecule: ribosomal RNA, 467 nt
Filed under: uncultured bacterium
Lineage: Bacteria
Description: partial 16S ribosomal RNA
Rfam family: Bacterial small subunit ribosomal RNA
Source: RNAcentral
GAUGAACGCUGGCGGCGUGCUUAGCACAUGCAAGUCGAACGGUGAAGCAGAGCUUGCUCUGUGGAUCAGUGGCGAACGGGUGAGUAACACGUGAGCAACCUGCCCCUGACUCUGGGAUAAGCGCUGGAAACGGCGUCUAAUACUGGAUAUGAGCUGCGACCGCAUGGUCAGCAGUUGGAAAGAUUUUUCGGUCUGGGAUGGGCUCACGGCCUAUCAGCUUGUUGGUGAGGUAAUGGCUCACCAAGGCGUCGACGGGUAGCCGGCCUGAGAGGGUGACCGGCCACACUGGGACUGAGACACGGCCCAGACUCCUACGGGAGGCAGCAGUGGGGAAUAUUGCACAAUGGGCGAAAGCCUGAUGCAGCAACGCCGCGUGAGGGAUGACGGCCUUCGGGUUGUAAACCUCUUUUAGCAGGGAAGAAGCGAAAGUGACGGUACCUGCAGAAAAAGCGCCGGCUAACUACGUG